AUGACAGAUAAUGACAUUCAACGGAGUAGAGACCGAUUGGAGUUAGGUUUUCUUAAUACCAAAAAGAUCAAUGGAAUUUCAAACUUUGAUCUGCCUAUGAUUCUAGCGAUCACCAUCGCUGAUCAAAAUUUGAUAGAAUUCCUCGUGGAUGAUAGAAGCUCUUGUAAGGUCGUCUACGCUGACACGUUAGAACAACUAGGCAUUCAACAGAUAGAUCUGGAUUCAUAUCACUGA
Vicia faba (fava bean) is the source of this 234-nucleotide non-coding RNA. NCBI's taxonomy places the organism in Eukaryota, Viridiplantae, Streptophyta, Magnoliopsida, Fabales, Fabaceae. The record is from the annotation of a GenBank genome assembly.